RNAcentral lists this ribosomal RNA (382 nucleotides) under uncultured eukaryote. RNAcentral describes it as "partial 18S ribosomal RNA". It matches the Rfam family "Eukaryotic small subunit ribosomal RNA", at positions 592 to 976 of the family's 1831-position model. The record is from RNAcentral.
CAAUAGCGUAUAUUAAAGUUGUUGCAGUUAAAAAGCUCGUAGUUGGAUUUCUGGUUGAAGCGACCGGUCGGGCGUUGAUUCGUCUGCACUGGAGUCGGUUUUGGCCAUCCUCUAGGAAAGUGCGUCUGGUAUUAAGUUAUCGGGCGUAUGAUCCUGGUCUUUUACUGUGAAAAAAUUAGAGUGUUUAAAGCAGGCCUUCGCCUUGAAUACAUUAGCAUGGAAUAAUAAGAUAGGACUUUGGUCUAUUUUGUUGGUCUGCAGACCGAAGUAAUGAUUAAUAGGGAUAGUUGGGGGUAUUUAUAUUCCGAUGUCAGAGGUGAAAUUCUUAGAUUUUCGGAAGAUAAACUUAUGCGAAAGCAUUUACCAAGGAUGUUUUCAUUAA